This 432-nucleotide long non-coding RNA is filed under the name Nicotiana benthamiana. RNAcentral's name for it is "long non-coding RNA (NBEN_LNC012652)". Lineage: Eukaryota; Viridiplantae; Streptophyta; Magnoliopsida; Solanales; Solanaceae. The record is from RNAcentral.
ACAAGUAACCCAACAUUGGGAUGAAACUUCAUCUGUUCAUCAAAACAAGUCUGCUCCAUCAGCUGCAUUUUAUUAUGAAGAAGUAAUCCAAACUGGGAGUGAAACAGGUAACAGCAGCUUACAGAAUUCAGAGGACAUAACUGCAGCACUGUCACACAGCUAUUUGAACCAUAACGCUCAACAUUUUGUCUCAAAAAACUAUUUUGAACAGAAUCAGAAAAUGAGGAAGCUCCCAAUGAGAGUCGCAAAACAAAAACAGGUCGCUCCACCAACUGUCUCAAAGUCCAGUAUAUUUUAAACAGAAUUAAAAAAUGUGGAAGCUCCCAAUAAGAGUCGCAAAACAAAAACAGGUCGCUCCACCAACUGUCUCAAAGUCCAGACGAACAAAGAUCACCAAUUAAGCAGCCAGAUUUGUUGACAAAUUCUUGUGAC